GCUGUCACCCAGCCGCACUGGGGAGGCAAUCUUUACCCAGACCAGCAAUUCCAGUGCUAAUCUCUUCUGGAAACAUUCUCACCGACAGGGGCAGAAACGCUGUUUACCGGCUCUCUGGGCAUCCCGCAGCCCAGUCAAAUCACCCACACGGUGGGGCCCGGGGCGGGGGGUUCUGCUCCGCCAGCCCUGAAGCCCGGCUCGAGGACGCGGCCCCAGCCGUGCACACCGAGGCGUGCACCCGGGUGAGGAGUAUCCUCCCCUGUGCACCCGGUGAGAAGUAGGGUGGCUGCACACCGGGAGGAGAGUGGGGAGCUCCGCGCGGGGGAGGGGGAGGGCCGCCGCCGCAAUGCGCGCUUCCACCGGAACCUGCGAGCCCAGAUGGAGUCAGGGCGCCGCGGGCUGUGCAUGCGCGCCCCCGCCCGGGGCUAUAAAAACCGCAUCAUCUGCUGCUACUAGAGCAUCCAGUUGUCAGAAGCCAGUCACCCUCUCCUGCGGCAUCUUUGCUCGACAUGGACCCUGAGACCUGCCCCUGUCCUACUGGUGGUUCCUGCACCUGUGCUGACUCCUGCAAAUGCGAGGGAUGCAAAUGCACCUCCUGCAAGAAAAGCUGCUGCUCCUGCUGCCCCGCGGAGUGCGAGAAAUGCGCCAAGGAUUGUGUGUGCAAAGGUGGAGAGGGGGCAGAGGCUGAGGCUCAGAAGUGCAGCUGCUGCCAGUAAGAUGAGGACCUGCCCCUCCUCGAACUAUUGUAAAUACUGCUGGGUGGUCCAGUGCCACCUCUCCCUGUGGGGAGGCUCAGCUGUGUGUCUAUGAUCCCUGCUAGCUACUGGCAAGUGACAAUAAAUUCUGUG
Molossus molossus (Pallas's mastiff bat) is the source of this 848-nucleotide long non-coding RNA. RefSeq lists it as uncharacterized. The transcript has 3 exons. The record is from RefSeq and is a predicted model, not a curated record. NCBI's taxonomy places the organism in Eukaryota, Metazoa, Chordata, Mammalia, Chiroptera, Molossidae.